RNAcentral lists this transfer RNA (72 nucleotides) under Bos taurus (domestic cattle). It matches the Rfam family "tRNA". From Rfam's summary of the family: Transfer RNA (tRNA) molecules are approximately 80 nucleotides in length. Their secondary structure includes four short double-helical elements and three loops (D, anti-codon, and T loops). Further hydrogen bonds mediate the characteristic L-shaped molecular structure. tRNAs have two regions of fundamental functional importance: the anti-codon, which is responsible for specific mRNA codon recognition, and the 3' end, to which the tRNAs corresponding amino acid is attached (by aminoacyl-tRNA synthetases). tRNAs cope with the degeneracy of the genetic code in two manners: having more than one tRNA (with a specific anti-codon) for a particular amino acid; and 'wobble' base-pairing, i.e. permitting non-standard base-pairing at the 3rd anti-codon position. RNAcentral also lists the same sequence under 2 other names. Lineage: Eukaryota; Metazoa; Chordata; Mammalia; Artiodactyla; Bovidae. The record is from Rfam by way of RNAcentral.
UCCCUGGUGGUCCAGUGGUUAAGACACUGCCUUCCAAGGCAGGGGGUGCAGGUUCGCCCCCUGGUCUGGGAG